AACUUUCAAUAACAGAUCUCUUAAUUCUAACAUCGAUAAAGAACGUAGCGAAAUACAAUAAGUAAUAUAAAUUAUAGAAUUUAAUAAAUUAUCGAAUUUUUAAACGUACAUUACACUCACUAAUAUUCUAAUAAAUAUACCUAUUCGAACGUUA
Ribosomal RNA from Neurospora crassa OR74A, 154 nucleotides. It matches the Rfam family "5.8S ribosomal RNA". From Rfam's summary of the family: 5.8S ribosomal RNA (5.8S rRNA) is a component of the large subunit of the eukaryotic ribosome. It is transcribed by RNA polymerase I as part of the 45S precursor that also contains 18S and 28S rRNA. NCBI's taxonomy places the organism in Eukaryota, Fungi, Ascomycota, Sordariomycetes, Sordariales, Sordariaceae. The record is from Rfam.